This is a long non-coding RNA of Homo sapiens (human), 2718 nucleotides long. NCBI's taxonomy places the organism in Eukaryota, Metazoa, Chordata, Mammalia, Primates, Hominidae. The record is from Ensembl.
GGAUGAGGAUGCCAGGCACUCUGCUUUUCCUAAACAACUUCCAAGAACCCCGGAACAUUUCUUAAAGUGUCUGGAACGAAGCUUUAACCUCGCCUGCUCCAUCAGCCUGGGACGGAAAAGACGCGAGGGGCGAAGAAGAGGUGGGGCACGGGGAGCCCGGGCCGUUCGGCGUAAGUGAUCCAGGCUUCCAGCGCCCCGGGCGCACCCCGCGGAAAGGCGUCUGGGAGUCGGGGACGUGCGGGGGGAGACCACCCGGCCAACCCCGGGGGAUGAGCUGCAAGGCUGGCCACGCCCGGCAGGAGACUGCGCGCAGAGACCCGCCCGGGGAAGCACGGGAGGAGGGAGGGCGGCCAUGUACAACCCCUGGCAGGUGGGAGCCUCCCUGGCGCCAGCUCGGGCAGGGCCACGCCCCUUCCCAACUCCCCGCGCUCGGCCUCCGGACUGCUCAGGGGGCCACGCCCCUUCCGGAUUCCCCGCGCUAGGCCUCCGGACCGCUCAGCGGCCCCGCCCCUUCUCGAGUUCUCCGCGCUCGGCCUCCGGACGGCUCAGGGGGCCACGCCCCGUCGCCCGGGGCCCCGCCCACUCCUCAAGCCCCACGGGACUCCCAGCCUACCUCCCUCCCGCUGCCGCACUGGACUCCCAGACCUCGGCACCAACCGUAUCUCCUGUUACUCGCCCCAGGGUGGUUGCCCGGGGAAAAACUCCAAGGGUUUCACUGGCUGGCCUGGAAACCCUUUCAUCUUUGCUCCAUCAGCAGCAGCUCUUUGAUUGAGUUCUCCUGGCUUUAGAGCCUCCCACUAUGGUCAUGCUGCAAAUUCCCGUGGCCAGCACCCGAGGCCUGCUGGCUCCGAUCUGGGCCACGUGUACAACCAGGUGUGCCCCCUUAGCCUCACGCCCUCCUCCUGUUGCCUCCCCAUCCCUCUAGCCUUCGGGACUUGGGGUUGCAAUGAAUCUUAGGUUUUUUCCAGGAGUCUUUUAUUCCUCCAGCGUCUCCGUGCGCCUGUCCGCUCCAACACCUGACAUUUUCCUUCAACUCCACCCUCCCCUCCCCGAGUCCACAGACACACACCCACCCACACGCCUCUUCCCUUCCCCUCCACCCUCAGUCAGCGGCAGAGUCAGUCCAUCCAAUAGGCAGGAGCCCAAAAGACUGUCCACGGACAGCUGUCCUCUCGCCCAGGAGAGUGGGGCUGCACACAGCAGCAGGCCCAGGAGGAAAUCGUGCUUUGAUAGCCCCAGGCAUCGUAUUUCAUCGUAUUUCACAAGUGAGCCAAAUGGAGAAGGGAUUAGCUGUUUCACCCAAUAAGCCCACAUCUGUAGUUACAUUCUGACUGGGAUAAAAUUACCCUGGUUAUUAAUCCUUCUGCUUUAGGGCAUAAGCUGAUCACCAGCUGGGGUCAGGAAAAAACUCCACCCCAGCUCCUUCCAACUUGCUCCCCCAUCCUCAGCUGCUCCAUUUCCUGUGGUCUAUUCUUGCACAGUUAGGUCUACAAGCCAGGUUCAAGGCCACCAACUGAGGCACCUGUCCCGAGACAGGACCAUUCUAAUCUGCCCUGAAAAGGACAUCCCAUUGAUCAUGUAAGUAUGUACUGAGAAUCUACUGUGGGCAAGACAUUGGUCUUCGCUGUGGGAGAUACAAAAACCAUUCAGGCAUGGCCCUUGCCUUUUUCAUGCCAAGAAAAGCUGAAGUGUGUGGUCAGAAAUUGCAUGUGGUUUCUGGGACUUACUGCCCUGAAGCACCCUGGGUGUAUCGGAUGGCCUCAGGGAACACAGUUUGGGUAUGGGCAGUAUUUUCAUGCCCAUUGCCAUUCCCUUCUGCCUCAAGUGUAUGUGGGCUUUCCCUGCAGUCAGCCAGCAGGCCAGGCCAGGGUGGCUUUGUUUCUGUCUCUGACCCUUUCUCUUCAGACUCCAAAUCUGCAGGUGCUGGAGACUUUGAAGGAGUCUCCGUUUCCCUUGGUAGAAACAAGAGGUAGGAACAAGCAGGUGGAAAGCCAGGGUUACUCCUUCCAGCCAAUGGGUCUGGGGCUGCAGCACACAAAGUUGACAUCCCGAAAGGCCAUUUUCCUCGAUCGCUUCAGACCUGGCAUUGGGUGGACAGACCACAUGAUUCAGCAUCCAAAUUGGAGAUCUCUCAAUAACAGAAAGAGGUGCCAUUGAUAAUUUCGUGGAACUUUCCUGAGCACACCAGGGUGUGCUCAUUCUUCCUGAGGGGUCAUCUCCCUUGGGCAUCGUAAGAGGCACCACUGAGACACAACAGCUUUUGUCACCAUUUCCCAAUUGUGUCCCAAGCUCUCUGUCCUCUUCCCUGUGCUGGUCAUCUCACAGUCUUCUUCUGCAGGUAGAUCCCCCCUACUUCAGCCCUUCCUCCCACCUCAGCUCCUUUGUUCCCGCUGCCAUGCCCAGAACAACCUAUAUUUCCACUCUCCAACCUUGGAUCAACCCAACUGUGUUUUCACGCUACUAUGUCCAGGAUACUGGAUGAUACUAGAGAUAGCCAUCAGUAACAUUCAUUACAUGAAUAAGUCUGGGUUGAUCCUGUGACACAGUUAUGCCUUCUACCCUCUGCUGCUUCUCAACAUUGCUCAGUCCUUAUGUUGGUGUUCUCAUUUCACAUGAUAGAGUUCCAAACCUUUUGUAGCCCGAAUCGUCAUCUAUCCCCUAAUUCUUGGAAAAGACCCUAACUUCACCAAUAGCAACAACAAUCAAAACCAACUGAAC